RNAcentral lists this ribosomal RNA (810 nucleotides) under Trichophyton erinacei. Its description in RNAcentral is "eukaryotic LSU rRNA". It matches the Rfam family "Eukaryotic large subunit ribosomal RNA", at positions 85 to 912 of the family's 3401-position model. The record is from RNAcentral. Lineage: Eukaryota; Fungi; Ascomycota; Eurotiomycetes; Onygenales; Arthrodermataceae.
AACGGCGAGUGAAGCGGCAAGAGCUCAAAUUUGAAAUCUGGCCUCCUCCGGGGGUCCGAGUUGUAAUUUGCAGAGGAUGCUUCGGGUGCGGCCCCCGUCUAAGUUCCUUGGAACAGGACGUCAGAGAGGGUGAGAAUCCCGUUUUGGGCGGGCGGCCCGCGCCCGUGUGAAGCUCCUUCGACGAGUCGAGUUGUUUGGGAAUGCAGCUCUAAGCGGGUGGUAAAUUUCAUCUAAAGCUAAAUACUGGCCGGAGACCGAUAGCGCACAAGUAGAGUGAUCGAAAGGUUAAAAGCACCUUGAAAAGGGAGUUAAACAGCACGUGAAAUUGUUGAAAGGGAAGCGCUUGCGGCCAGACUCGGGGGCGGGGUUCAGCGGGCGCUCGUCGCCCGUGCACUCCCCGCGCCCCGGGCCAGCAUCAGUUUCGACGGCCGGUCAAAGGCCCCCGGAAUGUGUCGUCUCUAGGGACGUCUUAUAGCCGGGGGUGCAAUGCGGCCCGUCGGGACUGAGGAACGCGCUCCGGCUCGGAUGCUGGCGUAAUGGCCGUAAGCGGCCCGUCUUGAAACACGGACCAAGGAGUCUAACAUCCACGCGAGUGUUCGGGUGUCAAACCCGUGCGCGCAGUGAAAGCGAACGGAGGUGGGAGCCUUUGGGCGCACCAUCGACCGAUCCUGAAGUCUUCGGAUGGAUUUGAGUAGGAGCGUGGCCGUUGGGACCCGAAAGAUGGUGAACUAUGCCUGAAUAGGGUGAAGCCAGAGGAAACUCUGGUGGAGGCUCGCAGCGGUUCUGACGUGCAAAUCGAUCGUCAAAUUU